This 325-nucleotide ribosomal RNA is filed under the name uncultured eukaryote. RNAcentral describes it as "partial 18S ribosomal RNA". It matches the Rfam family "Eukaryotic small subunit ribosomal RNA", at positions 1470 to 1796 of the family's 1831-position model. The record is from RNAcentral.
CCCUUAGAUGUUCUGGGCCGCACGCGCGCUACACUGAUGCAUUCAACGAGCCUAUCCUUGACCGACAGGUCCGGGUAAUCUUUGAAUCUGCAUCGUGACGGGGAUAGAUUAUUGCAAUUAUUAAUCUUCAACGAGGAAUGCCUAGUAGGCGCAAGUCAUCAGCUUGCGUCGAUUACGUCCCUGCCCUUUGUACACACCGCCCGUCACUCCUACCGAUUGGGUGUGCUGGUGAAAUGUUCGGAUCGGCCGUUUGUCGCGGUUUCCGCGGCUCGUGGCUGAGAAGUUCAUUAAACCCUCCCACCUAGAGGAAGGAGAAGUCGUAACA